Molecule: ribosomal RNA, 494 nt
Filed under: uncultured bacterium
Lineage: Bacteria
Description: partial 16S ribosomal RNA
Rfam family: Bacterial small subunit ribosomal RNA
Source: RNAcentral
GACGAACGCUGGCGGCGUGCUUAACACAUGCCAGUCGAACGGAAAGGCCUGCUUUCCCUUGUGGAUUGCGGGUACUCGAGUGGCGAACGGGUGAGUAACAUGUGAGUGAUCUGCCCCCAACUUGGGUAUAAGCCUGGGAAACUGGGUCUAAUUCCCGAUAGGACUGCAGGGUGGUGCCUGUGGUGGAAAACGAUUUUCUAGUGGUUGGGGAUGAGCUCGCGGCCUAUCAGCUUGUUGGUGGGGUAAUGGCCUACCAAGGCGGCGACGGGUAGCCGGCCUGAGAGGGUGGACGGCCACAUUGGGACUGAGAUACGGCCCAGACUCCUACGGGAGGCAGCAGUGGGGAAUAUUGCACAAUGGGCGGAAGCCUGAUGCAGCGACGCCGCGUGGGGGAUGACGGCCUUCGGGUUGUAAACUCCUUUCGACCGCGAGGAAGCCACCUGGUUGGAAGGGUGGUGACGGUAGUGGUAGAAGAAGCACCGGCUAACUACGUG